Candoia aspera is the source of this 811-nucleotide long non-coding RNA. RefSeq lists it as uncharacterized. The record is from RefSeq and is a predicted model, not a curated record. The transcript is spliced from 3 exons. NCBI's taxonomy places the organism in Eukaryota, Metazoa, Chordata, Lepidosauria, Squamata, Candoiidae.
AAAAAAGUAGCCCUGUACGUCACGUGACCGAGCUUCUCAUAAAGGCGGCCGGAGUGGCAGGGGUUGAAUUCUGAAUUUGCUUUCCAUGGACGGAACAGCUCCUUUACCCACAGAAGGCUUCAGAUCCUGCAAGGGGUUCCACUGCAUGGCUUCAAUGUCACUUCGACAGAAAACAGAACCCAAAAAAGGAAAGAAAAAGAAAAAUCAUGGAUGAAGGAAGAGUAUUCAACAAAAAAUGGACAGAUGAGUACUUUUUUUGUCGAGAGAAAUACUAAGGCACUAUGCUUAAUUUGUAGGGAAAGUUUUCAAAGACUACAAUUUGAAAUGGCAUUAUACAGAAAAACAUGCUGCCAAAUUCAAAGCGUAUCAAGGAAUUUGUUGUAAAGACAAAUUAGCGGAACUGAAAAAAAAUCUGUCUCAGCAAUUUUUAAAAAGUCACAACUCAAAAGGACUCUAUUAUAAAAACUAGUUAUUUGGUAGCAAAUCUAACUGCAAAAAAUUCAAAACCAUUUACUGAUGGUGAGUUUAUUAAGCAAUGUAUGGAAAGCGUGGCAGAUACAAUUUGUCCUGAUAAAAAAAGUGAUUUUUCUAAAAUCAGUUUGUCUCACCAGACUAUAGCCGGGCGAAUUGAAGAAAUAUUGAAAAGUUUGAAGAGUAAAGUGCUAAUUUCAAAUUGUAUGCUUUGGCGAUGGAUGAAAGUACUGUUGCUACAGAUACAGCUCAACUUGCCAUUUUUAUUAGAGGUAUUGAUAACAAAUAUAAUGUCACUGAAGAAAUGGCUUCUUUGGUGCCAUUAAAAGACACAGCUAAA